RNAcentral lists this long non-coding RNA (468 nucleotides) under Gallus gallus (chicken). Its description in RNAcentral is "long non-coding RNA NONGGAT002760". The record is from RNAcentral. Lineage: Eukaryota; Metazoa; Chordata; Aves; Galliformes; Phasianidae.
GCCAGAAGCUAGUUGGGGUGCUGGACAGCAGGGGCUACCAACAGCUUUCCUAGCUUUUGGAGAUGCAUCCCUAAAUAUUCCCUUGGCUCAGAGCCACAUAAUGCAUCCUGCACCAGCUGAGAGCAGGGUGGAUGAAGGAGUGCCAGGAUAGCUGAAACCUCUCUGAUGUCCCACUUGACUUUGGUGCAUCUUAACACACUGUUCCCAAAGACAAGAAGUCCUACAGCAGGUUCCUGUUGGUGUGUCAUAUGUUCUUCUGCCAACAGUGGAAGCAGAUGUGUCCAGCUGCUUGCAGUCCUGCUGCAGGAUGGCCACUUGUCCUAUCCCAUCUCAGAGCCUUGGAGUUAGGAACCAAAUGUGACUGCAUACCUCAGUGUGAGGCUUGGGAUCAGCUUUGCUGGCACUCUGUUGCUAAGCAGAUGGGCUGCUGCAUUUGUACCCAAUGAAGUUGUUUCAGAGAAGGUGGCU